AGCAUAUCCAAUAAGCGGAGGAAAAGAAACUAACAAGGAUUCCCCUAGUAACUGCGAGUGAAGCGGGAAAAGCUCAAAUUUAAAAUCUGGCAGUCUUUGGCUGUCCGAGUUGUAAUCUAGAGAAGUGUUAUCUGCGCUGGACCGUGUACAAGUCUCCUGGAAUGGAGCGUCAUAGAGGGUGAGAAUCCCGUCUUUGACACGGACUACCAGGGCUUUGUGAUGCGCUCUCAAAGAGUCGAGUUGUUUGGGAAUGCAGCUCAAAAUGGGUGGUAAAUUCCAUCUAAAGCUAAAUAUUGGCGAGAGACCGAUAGCGAACAAGUACCGUGAGGGAAAGAUGAAAAGAACUUUGGAAAGAGAGUUAAACAGUACGUGAAAUUGCUGAAAGGGAAACGCUUGAAGUCAGUCGCGUUGUCCAGGGAUCAACCUUGCUUUUGCUUGGUGCAUUUCCUGGUUGACGGGUCAGCGUCAAUUUUGAUUAUUGGAAAAAGAUUAAGGGAAUGUGGCAUCUUUGGAUGUGUUAUAGCCCUUGGUUGCAUACAAUAGUUGGGAUUGAGGAACUCAGCACGCCGCAAGGCCAGGUUUUUAACCAUGUACGUGCUUAGGAUGCUGGCAUAAUGGCUUUAAUCGACCCGUCUUGAAACACGGACCAAGGAGUCUAACAUGCCUGCGAGUGUUUGGGUGGAAAACCCGAGCGCGCAAUGAAAGUGAAAGUUGAGAUCCCUGUCGUGGGGAGCAUCGACGCCCGGACCAGACCUUUUGUGACGGUUCCGCGGUAGAGCAUGUAUGUUGGGACCCGAAAGAUGGUGAACUAUGCCUGAAUAGGGUGAAGCCAGAGGAAACUCUGGUGGAGGCUCGUAGCGAUUCUGACGUGCAAAUCGAUCGUCAAAUUUGGGUAUAGGGGCGAAAGACUAAUCGAACCAUCUAGUAGCUG
Molecule: ribosomal RNA, 931 nt
Filed under: Cortinarius persplendidus
Lineage: Eukaryota; Fungi; Basidiomycota; Agaricomycetes; Agaricales; Cortinariaceae
Description: LSU rRNA
Rfam family: Eukaryotic large subunit ribosomal RNA
Source: RNAcentral